GUGAAAUACUAUUUGUUCCCUUGAGAAAUUACUUCAGAUCUUUGCAUUGCUAAGACACCACAUAUAUGCAGGGUUUUACCUAUUUAACAUAAUAAUUCCAUGGAAACGAGAACAAAGCUGUAGGAGAUUUCAUUAAAGCUUGGCUUCAUUCCUAGCUUCAUGGACUAGUAAAUGACCCGAAAGAUCACCUCCUCCAGCCCCUGCUUCUAGUGCGUGUGAUGUUUAAAUAAUUCAAAAAGAAAAAAAGAAAAGAGAAGACAAGAAAAAAGAAUGUUUCCACCAUUCCCAACACUGCCAUUUACCUUGGAAUGAAUUAAACACCCGUUACAUAGACUUCCUUGACGUCUUCUCUGCUGUCUCAGGACAUGCCGAUGCAGGGCUGAUGAUAUCUCAGUGGAGAAGAAACAUGCGGCUGCUUGGUUUUCACCUUAGAAGGGGGCAGACAGAUGCCACCAGCAUGCUGG
Molecule: long non-coding RNA, 464 nt
Filed under: Cricetulus griseus (Chinese hamster)
Lineage: Eukaryota; Metazoa; Chordata; Mammalia; Rodentia; Cricetidae
Description: lncRNA (ENSCGRG00015032407.1)
Source: RNAcentral